AGCAGCUACACUGCCCAGUGCUGCCAAAAACUCCAGGUCUCACACUCCUGUCCCUUUGCUCGAGAUUGGAUAAAUUUGGGCCUUGAUAACA
Small nucleolar RNA from Gopherus evgoodei (Goodes thornscrub tortoise), 91 nucleotides. Lineage: Eukaryota; Metazoa; Chordata; Testudines; Testudinidae. The record is from Ensembl.